This 342-nucleotide ribosomal RNA is filed under the name uncultured bacterium. RNAcentral describes it as "partial 16S ribosomal RNA". It matches the Rfam family "Bacterial small subunit ribosomal RNA", at positions 373 to 710 of the family's 1533-position model. The record is from RNAcentral.
GGGCGCAGGYNCUGAACCRRCCMAGUAGCGUGAAGGAUGACUGCCCUAUGGGUUGUAAACUUCUUUUAUAUGGGAAUAAAGUUUUCCACGUGUGGAAUUUUGUAUGUACCAUAUGAAUAAGGAUCGGCUAACUCCGUGCCAGCAGCCGCGGUAAUACGGAGGAUCCGAGCGUUAUCCGGAUUUAUUGGGUUUAAAGGGAGCGUAGGUGGACAGUUAAKUYAGUUGUGAAAGUUUGCGGCUCAACCGUAAAAUUGCAGUUGAUACUGGCUGUCUUGAGUACAGUAGAGGUGGGCGGAAUUCGUGGUGUAGNCGGUGAAAUGCUUAGAUAUCACGAAGAACUCC